This 253-nucleotide ribosomal RNA is filed under the name uncultured bacterium. Its description in RNAcentral is "partial 16S ribosomal RNA". It matches the Rfam family "Bacterial small subunit ribosomal RNA", at positions 524 to 776 of the family's 1533-position model. The record is from RNAcentral.
UACGGAGGGUGCGAGCGUUGUCCGGAAUCAUUGGGCGUAAAGGGCGCGUAGGUGGCGGGACAAGCGUGCGGUGAAAGCCCGGGGCUCAACUCCGGAAUUGCCUUUAAGACUGCAUCGCUAGAAUUGUGGAGAGGUAAGUGGAAUUCCGAGUGUAGAGGUGAAAUUCGUAGAUAUUCGGAAGAACACCAGUGGCGAAGGCGACUUACUGGACACAUAUUGACGCUGAGGUGCGAAAGCGUGGGGAGCAAACAGG